Shinella sp. DD12 is the source of this 68-nucleotide non-coding RNA. The record is from Rfam. NCBI's taxonomy places the organism in Bacteria, Pseudomonadati, Pseudomonadota, Alphaproteobacteria, Hyphomicrobiales, Rhizobiaceae.
CGUCAAGAGUCUUUGGCACCGUUUCGGUGAUCGAAUUUCUUUUGCCUUCUGAGAGGUAGAAGGUGAUG